GCCUUCGUGAAAAUCAGCGGUGGAUUAUGCCGUUCCGGGACUCUUCCUACUUCUCCUUCCGGAUAGGCAUGGUCGCGGGUUCGAACCCCGCCGGAGGCA
RNAcentral lists this transfer RNA (99 nucleotides) under Bifidobacterium dentium. Its description in RNAcentral is "tRNA-OTHER". The record is from RNAcentral. Lineage: Bacteria; Bacillati; Actinomycetota; Actinomycetes; Bifidobacteriales; Bifidobacteriaceae.